RNAcentral lists this long non-coding RNA (378 nucleotides) under Rattus norvegicus (Norway rat). Its description in RNAcentral is "long non-coding RNA NONRATT003357". The record is from RNAcentral. Lineage: Eukaryota; Metazoa; Chordata; Mammalia; Rodentia; Muridae.
UUCCUCUCUCGGUCAUGUUCCUCACUCUCUCACGUGGAUCUCCAGACUAUAAGACUGGUUUCGGAGGCAAAUUUGGUGUUCAGUCCGAGAGGCAGGACUCCUCCGCUGUGGGGUUUGAUUACAAGGAGAAAUUGGCCAAGCACGAGUCCCAGCAAGGCACAGUUCCCCUGCCUCCUCCUACCAGCCCUUGCAGUGCAGCUGGCUUGCAGCAUAGACUUCAGGGUUUACCACAGUGCCUGUGACAGUUCCUGUGCCGCCACUGGCUGCCAUGAUGUUCUCCACUCAGUUUCAUGCCAGAGGAACAACCUGGAGCUCGGUCCCCCCCCCCCCCCCCCCAACCCCACCCAUUCUUUUUCCCUCCGACCUUUGGGUUCAGGU